GUUUUCCAGGCAAAUCCGGAAAAUCAAGGCUGAGGCGUGAUGACGAGGCACUACGGUGCUGAAGCAACAAAUGCCCUGCUUCCAGGAAAAGCCUCUAAGCAUCAGGUAACAUCAAAUCGUACCCCAAACCGACACAGGUGGUCAGGUAGAGAAUACCAAGGCGCUUGAGAGAACUCGGGUGAAGGAACUAGGCAAAAUGGUGCCGUAACUUCGGGAGAAGGCACGCUGAUAUGUAGGUGAAGUCCCUCGCGGAUGGAGCUGAAAUCAGUCGAAGAUACCAGCUGGCUGCAACUGUUUAUUAAAAACACAGCACUGUGCAAACACGAAAGUGGACGUAUACGGUGUGACGCCUGCCCGGUGCCGGAAGGUUAAUUGAUGGGGUCAGCGCAAGCGAAGCUCUUGAUCGAAGCCCCGGUAAACGGCGGCCGUAACUAUAACGGUCCUAAGGUAGCGAAAUUCCUUGUCGGGUAAGUUCCGACCUGCACGAAUGGCGUAAUGAUGGCCAGGCUGUCUCCACCCGAGACUCAGUGAAAUUGAACUCGCUGUGAAGAUGCAGUGUACCCGCGGCAAGACGGAAAGACCCCGUGAACCUUUACUAUAGCUUGACACUGAACAUUGAGCCUUGAUGUGUAGGAUAGGUGGGAGGCUUUGAAGUGUGGACGCCAGUCUGCAUGGAGCCGACCUUGAAAUACCACCCUUUAAUGUUUGAUGUUCUAACGUGGACCCGUGAUCCGGGUUGCGGACAGUGUCUGGUGGGUAGUUUGACUGGGGCGGUCUCCUCCUAAAGAGUAACGGAGGAGCACGAAGGUUGGCUAAUCCUGGUCGGACAUCAGGAGGUUAGUGCAAUGGCAUAAGCCAGCUUGACUGCGAGCGUGACGGCGCGAGCAGGUGCGAAAGCAGGUCAUAGUGAUCCGGUGGUUCUGAAUGGAAGGGCCAUCGCUCAACGGAUAAAAGGUACUCCGGGGAUAACAGGCUGAUACCGCCCAAGAGUUCAUAUCGACGGCGGUGUUUGGCACCUCGAUGUCGGCUCAUCACAUCCUGGGGCUGAAGUAGGUCCCAAGGGUAUGGCUGUUCGCCAUUUAAAGUGGUACGCGAGCUGGGUUUAGAACGUCGUGAGACAGUUCGGUCCCUAUCUGCCGUGGGCGCUGGAGAACUGAGGGGGGCUGCUCCUAGUACGAGAGGACCGGAGUGGACGCAUCACUGGUGUUCGGGUUGUCAUGCCAAUGGCACUGCCCGGUAGCUAAAUGCGGAAGAGAUAAGUGCUGAAAGCAUCUAAGCACGAAACUUGCCCCGAGAUGAGUUCUCCCUGACCCUUUAAGGGUCCUGAAGGAACGUUGAAGACGACGACGUUGAUAGGCCGGGUGUGUAAGCGCAGCGAUGCGUUGAGCUAACCGGUACUAAUGAACCGUGAGGCUUAACCUUACAACGCCGAAGGUGUUU
RNAcentral lists this ribosomal RNA (1440 nucleotides) under Escherichia coli. Its description in RNAcentral is "partial 23S ribosomal RNA". It matches the Rfam family "Bacterial large subunit ribosomal RNA", at positions 1527 to 2925 of the family's 2925-position model. Lineage: Bacteria; Pseudomonadati; Pseudomonadota; Gammaproteobacteria; Enterobacterales; Enterobacteriaceae. The record is from RNAcentral.